Long non-coding RNA from Episyrphus balteatus (marmalade hoverfly), 596 nucleotides. RefSeq lists it as uncharacterized. NCBI's taxonomy places the organism in Eukaryota, Metazoa, Arthropoda, Insecta, Diptera, Syrphidae. The transcript is spliced from 4 exons. The record is from RefSeq and is a predicted model, not a curated record.
GGUCGAAAUUCUGUAUGUGCCAAAUUCGGAUUCAGAAAUUCUGUAUUCCAAAAAUCGGUGUUUUAAAAUUCUGUCUUUCAAAAUGCUAAUUUUGGAGUACAAAUUAUUGGUAUUUUCUUUGUAGAAAAUCCUUUGAAGUAAAAUAUCUCUCCAAUUAAUUUGCAUAUGGCUUGCUAUUCGAUUGAAUUGGAGUAACAAAAUACGAGGGUUUUAGAGCCAUUUGCUGAAACGAAUAAUAGAAAAGCAGAAUAAUGGAAUACAGAAUUAGGUUCAUACUGAAUUUUUUAUUCAGAUAGGUACAGAAUUUUGGCCAUACAGAAUUUUGGAAUACAGAAAACGACCCGUUCCAGAAAAAAAAAAAUCGGUUAAUUCUGUUUAUUUUUGAAGUUAUACUUCUUUUGCGGCGAUGAGCCAUGAAAAUUUACUUUUUGACAAGAAUGUCAAAAAGAUUAUGACACGAUCACCACCUCCGAUACUGACAAUUGGGCAGCAGGGCUGUCGUUUCACCUUAAGAGUUGGCAGUACUUUAGUAUUAAAAUAGGGAAGUCAAAUUGUCUUGGGUUAAGUAGAUCUAGCAUCAAAAAAUUUUGUUUGAU